This is a long non-coding RNA of Melitaea cinxia (Glanville fritillary), 847 nucleotides long. RefSeq lists it as uncharacterized. The transcript is spliced from 3 exons. NCBI's taxonomy places the organism in Eukaryota, Metazoa, Arthropoda, Insecta, Lepidoptera, Nymphalidae. The record is from RefSeq and is a predicted model, not a curated record.
AUUUUGAGUGGCAACACUGCCAGAUUAAAGGACUUUCGCUUCGACCAUGAUUGGGAACGGCGAGGGAAAGAUUUCACGUUUUCGUGUUUUGUUGGCCAGGUUCGCCUGCAUAUUAAAAAUUAUGUCUCUGAAGUAGAGAAUAAUAAUUUUAUUUAUCUCAACAAUAAUGCUUCCUUAUUUUGUUCAUUUUGAAAUAGAUAUUUUUAUCUGAUUUCGGGGAUGGUGGGAACGAGAGAUUACACAUAUGCAAUCUACUCUGGGAUUCUUUCAUUUUUAUAUUUCCUUUGUAUUUUAUUGUUUUAUUUUAUUAUAUACGUAACUAAUUAAUAGAAAUAUGACUUUAGAAGAAAAUACACUUGGGUUACCAUGAUGUAGGAAAAAUUUAAAUAUGAAAAAUUUAUAAUUUGAAAUUAAGAUGGAACUUAAAUGAGUUACAAACAGAACUCAAACUUAAAAUUAUAUUUCGAUUUCAUUCUGUCAUUUUCGUUAAACUUCAAUCAUCGAGGCCUGGAUAUUUGAAUUUGAAAUUUAAAUAAAACACUAAAAGGUAUCUUUUCAAUAUUUUGAAAGCUGAGUCUACCGUGGAUCACCAGAGCAAUGAAACAUCUGUCCGUAUUAAAGUAGAACCUUUGGGCUGGAGAUCCUGCUCAUCGAAACUUCCUGUUGAAACCUUAACACCCUGUGGAUGUCCAGAGCAAAUUGACAAUUCAAGUAAUUGGUAUGAAUUAAUGCAGAAGAGGUACAGACUUUCUCAUUAUUUAGUUGAUCUAUGCUUAUUUACAAGGUUAUUUGAUUUCUGGUGGUAUACUCGUUAAGCUCAUUAUACUCGUUAAGCACAUUAUACUCA